UUGACCUCGGAUCAGGUAGGGAUACCCGCUGAACUUAAGCAUAUAUA
This 47-nucleotide ribosomal RNA is filed under the name Rhizoplaca chrysoleuca. RNAcentral describes it as "partial 26S ribosomal RNA". Lineage: Eukaryota; Fungi; Ascomycota; Lecanoromycetes; Lecanorales; Lecanoraceae. The record is from RNAcentral.